UAAAAAUUUUAUAAGUGAAUGAAAGUCAAAAAUUGGUUUCUAACCUUAUUUUUAA
RNAcentral lists this transfer RNA (55 nucleotides) under Metaperipatus inae. RNAcentral describes it as "tRNA-Phe". The record is from RNAcentral. Lineage: Eukaryota; Metazoa; Onychophora; Udeonychophora; Euonychophora; Peripatopsidae.